This 406-nucleotide unclassified non-coding RNA is filed under the name Hevea brasiliensis (rubber tree). The record is from RNAcentral. Lineage: Eukaryota; Viridiplantae; Streptophyta; Magnoliopsida; Malpighiales; Euphorbiaceae.
AUUAUUAUUAUUAUGAUUAUUAUUAUUAUUAUUCUCCUUGUCUUUUUUAUUAUUUUUUAAUGUCCUGAGGAGGAAGAAGGAAUCUUUAUGAUCAAAAUCGGGAAUAAUUUACUACUACGCUGUAUUACUACUGCAUAUAUAAUAAUGAUAAUGUAAUUACAGGCAAUAAAGUAGAAUUGAUUGGGGAAUGGUACCAACAGAGGAAAAUUAUUUAUUUCAUAAUCAAAUGCCAAUGAAUUAUAGGCUAUGAAGUAUGAACUCAAGAUGAGUUGGUCUGUGGUCCCAUGCAAUACACAGAGUCAACAGUGAUAGGAUAGCUGCUGCAACAAAUUCUUCAAUACAUGCCCACAAUCCCCAAAUUAUAACUGCUACUUAAUAUAUCUGUAAAAUACUGAGGUACACAUUG